This is a long non-coding RNA of Lutzomyia longipalpis, 999 nucleotides long. RefSeq lists it as uncharacterized. NCBI's taxonomy places the organism in Eukaryota, Metazoa, Arthropoda, Insecta, Diptera, Psychodidae. The record is from RefSeq and is a predicted model, not a curated record. The transcript is spliced from 3 exons.
CAAAGUGUUUGUUUUUGUUGUGAUAAAGUGAUUGUGCGUGCAGUGAUUUACCCGGAUGAGGGAUUGCUGGAGGCCAAGGAUACCACGGAGAGCAUAAAAGAGAAUCCCUUGAGUGCCUCAAGGCGAUCUCUGAAGAGCUCGUUAAAUAUUAGAAUACCUGGUUAUGCUUCUCUAGCUGAUCUCACAAAAACAAAAAAGUAGAAUGCAGAAAGGUUCUGGAAGCUUAGGAGUAAUCUGUAACGUUAUAGAAGUAGACUGUGAAGGAAUCUCAUUGAAACAGGAUUAAGAAAGGAACUCCUCCACUUGAAAGGACACGCGAUGGCAGCAAAUGGAUCAAUCCUUCUUUACCCUCAAAGAACUUCUUGUGAUCGAUAGAGUCUGUGAGAGAUUCAAUAAUGUGGCACAGAGAUUUUACAGAACACACCAAGUGAUGGAUUUUUAUAAAAUCUUUAAAAAGGACUCUAUUCGAUUAACUAAGGAUGAUGUAGUUGAGAUAUCUCGUCGUAUUGGACCACAUAUUCACACAUUUAGAGCCUCACGUGUAGCCUUUGCCAACUCUAUCAUGGAUGUUUGUGAAUUUCCCUUUAAGGCAAGGCAAUUGAGUUUUGUAGUGAUAAAAAAUUGCGAAAUAUUUACUUUUAUGGCUUCAUAUUUCUAAGUAUUUGGAAGGAACAAAUGAAGAUCCUUUCGCGGGCUUUCAGUUCCCUGAAAACAGUUCAUUUGCAAAAUUACACAGUCACAGAUAACUUUGAGAGUUGUUUUGUGGAUUCCAACCCAUAAAUCCUCAAUUUUUUAUAAAAUUUUGUCAAAAUUUUGUGCGGAAACUCAACAUAAGAGGAUGCAAUAUUCUCGAUGAAAAGUGCUUAAGAGCCAUAGUGAGUAAUUUUAGGGAACUAGAAGAACUCUCAAUUUGCAAUAACCUUUCAGUUUGUCUUCUAGAUUAUGCCAUUUUGGCGGAUAUUGUGAGCUUAAAGGUUUUGCAAAUAAACUAUGAACUCU